RNAcentral lists this ribosomal RNA (231 nucleotides) under uncultured bacterium. RNAcentral describes it as "partial 16S ribosomal RNA". It matches the Rfam family "Bacterial small subunit ribosomal RNA", at positions 1270 to 1500 of the family's 1533-position model. The record is from RNAcentral.
ACCCCUAAAAACUAGGUCUCAGUUCAGAUUGCAGGCUGCAACCCGCCUGCAUGAAGUCGGAAUUGCUAGUAAUCGCGGAUCAGCAUGCCGCGGUGAAUACGUUCCCGGGCCCUUGUACACACCGCCCGUCACACCAUGAGAGUUGGAGAUACCCGAAGCCUAUGAGCUAACUUUUAGAGGCAGUAGUCGAAGGUAGAAUCAAUGAUUGGGGUGAAGUCGUAACAAGGUAUC